GCCGAGGAUUACUUUUUCCUAGCAUUAGAUACAAUUCUUAUUCAAAUUAAAUAUUAAUUGAGAAAAGCAAAAUGUGGUAUUUUAGGUUAACAUUACGUUUGAUACUUUGAUCAAAAAUUGCCCAAUAACAUAAAUUAUUAGAGUAAAUGUAAAAAAAAAAAAAAAAAAAAAAAACAAUUUGAAAGCUAAGCCGAGUGACACUUUUGAAAACACCUAACGCAAGGAAGCUAAUGCACUGAGGGGAAAAAACAGCCGAAAAGAGCAGAUCAUUCAGGGAACUGGCAAUCUGGAAGAGACCACUCUCAUCAGGAUAAAAGAGUUUCAUCAGUACAACAGAGCCCCAGGAUGCCCUCACUGUAGCUCCGUUUCUUGAGUGUAGGUCAGGCUCCUUUCACCUUGCUCAGAGAUUUUUGAAACCUCAUUAGCAGCCGACGCGUGAAAGGCUGGAGACCUCGACCUGACCCGCUGGAGAAUGGCGUGUGUGUUAAAUGGUUUACCCCAUGAGGAGUGGGGAGAGGUUCAGGAGUUCAGUGGAGGGGGGUACACCCAACCCUUUUCAACUGCUACCCUUGACCACCCAUAAUUUCUCCCACUUGGUUAUACCUUGAUGACUAUGGGCCCA
Long non-coding RNA from Oreochromis aureus, 622 nucleotides. The record is from Ensembl. NCBI's taxonomy places the organism in Eukaryota, Metazoa, Chordata, Actinopteri, Cichliformes, Cichlidae.